RNAcentral lists this ribosomal RNA (445 nucleotides) under uncultured bacterium. Its description in RNAcentral is "partial 16S ribosomal RNA". It matches the Rfam family "Bacterial small subunit ribosomal RNA", at positions 354 to 796 of the family's 1533-position model. The record is from RNAcentral.
GUGAGGAAUAUUGGUCAAUGGGCGGGAGCCUGAACCAGCCAAGUCGCGUGAAGGAAGAAGGAUCUAUGGUUCGUAAACUUCUUUUGCAGGGGAAUAAAGUGCAGGACGUGUCCUGUUUUGUAUGUACCCUGAGAAUAAGGAUCGGCUAACUCCGUGCCAGCAGCCGCGGUAAUACGGAGGAUCCGAGCGUUAUCCGGAUUUAUUGGGUUUAAAGGGUGCGUAGGUGGUUUGAUAAGUCAGCGGUGAAAGUUUGCAGCUUAACUGUAAAAAUGCCGUUGAAACUGUCGGACUUGAGUGUAAAUGAUGUAGGCGGAAUGCGUGGUGUAGCGGUGAAAUGCAUAGAUAUCACGCAGAACUCCGAUUGCGAAGGCAGCUUACUAAGCUACAACUGACACUGAAGCACGAAAGCGUGGGGAUCAAACAGGAUUAGAUACCCCGGUAGUCC